UUUAAAGUCUAAUCUGCCCUAUGAGGAUUUAAAUGGCCGCGGUACUUUGACCGUGCAAAGGUAGCAUAAUAAUUAGUUUUUUAAUUGAAAGCUGGAAUGAACGAUUGGACGAGAAAAUGACUGUCUCAAUUUAAUUUUAUUAGAAUUUUAUUUUUAAGUAAGAAAGCUUAAAUUUUAUUAAAAGACGAGAAGACCCUAUAGAGUUUUAUCAUUAAUUAAUUAUUGGUUUUUUAGAAUUAUUUUAUUGAUAAUUAAUUAAUUAUUUUAUUGGGGCGAUAGAAAAAUAUAAUAAACUUUUUUUUUUAGUUAAACAUUAAUUUAUGAUUUUAUGAUCCAUUUUUUAUGAUUAUAAGAUUAAGUUACCUUAGGGAUAACAGCGUAAUUUUUUUUUAGAGUUCUUAUCGAAAAAAAAGGUUGCGACCUCGAUGUUGGAUUAAAAUUAAUCCUUGGUGUAGAGGCUAAGGUAUUGGGUCUGUUCRACCCUUAAAAUUUUACA
This 496-nucleotide ribosomal RNA is filed under the name Neoserica carneola. RNAcentral's name for it is "partial 16S large subunit ribosomal RNA". It matches the Rfam family "Bacterial large subunit ribosomal RNA", at positions 1844 to 2600 of the family's 2925-position model. The record is from RNAcentral. Lineage: Eukaryota; Metazoa; Arthropoda; Insecta; Coleoptera; Scarabaeidae.